Molecule: non-coding RNA, 80 nt
Organism: Podarcis lilfordi (Lilford's wall lizard)
Lineage: Eukaryota; Metazoa; Chordata; Lepidosauria; Squamata; Lacertidae
Source: the annotation of a GenBank genome assembly
GGCUGCAGCUCAGGGGGAGAACAGCUGCUUUGCAUGUAGAAGGUCCCUGGUUCAAUCAAUGGCAACUCCAGGCAGGGUCA